GUCGGGAUACUGGCCGGUGAAGAUCGUGGGCCGGCUCGGCACGCA
Molecule: small RNA, 45 nt
Filed under: Mycolicibacterium rhodesiae JS60
Lineage: Bacteria; Bacillati; Actinomycetota; Actinomycetes; Mycobacteriales; Mycobacteriaceae
Description: Mycobacterium rhodesiae JS60 Mycobacterium sRNA Ms_AS-5
Rfam family: Mycobacterium sRNA Ms_AS-5
Source: Rfam by way of RNAcentral